GGGCGAUUAGCUCAGCGGUAGAGCGCCUGCCUUACAAGCAGGAUGUCGCUGGUUCGAUCCCAGCAUCGCCCA
Molecule: transfer RNA, 72 nt
Filed under: Prochlorococcus sp.
Lineage: Bacteria; Bacillati; Cyanobacteriota; Cyanophyceae; Synechococcales; Prochlorococcaceae
Also listed under: 16 other names
Description: tRNA-Val
Rfam family: tRNA
About the family: Transfer RNA (tRNA) molecules are approximately 80 nucleotides in length. Their secondary structure includes four short double-helical elements and three loops (D, anti-codon, and T loops). Further hydrogen bonds mediate the characteristic L-shaped molecular structure. tRNAs have two regions of fundamental functional importance: the anti-codon, which is responsible for specific mRNA codon recognition, and the 3' end, to which the tRNAs corresponding amino acid is attached (by aminoacyl-tRNA synthetases). tRNAs cope with the degeneracy of the genetic code in two manners: having more than one tRNA (with a specific anti-codon) for a particular amino acid; and 'wobble' base-pairing, i.e. permitting non-standard base-pairing at the 3rd anti-codon position.
Source: RNAcentral